GCCGGAGUGGCGGAACUGGCAGACGCGCCAGACUCAAAAUCUGGUGGGGUUCACGCCCCGUGCGGGUUCGACUCCCGCCUCCGGCACCA
This 89-nucleotide transfer RNA is filed under the name Pseudomonadota bacterium. RNAcentral's name for it is "tRNA-Leu". It matches the Rfam family "tRNA". Rfam says of the family: Transfer RNA (tRNA) molecules are approximately 80 nucleotides in length. Their secondary structure includes four short double-helical elements and three loops (D, anti-codon, and T loops). Lineage: Bacteria; Pseudomonadati; Pseudomonadota. The record is from RNAcentral. RNAcentral also lists the same sequence under 1 other name.